UACAGAGGUGGCAAGCGUUGUCCGGAAUUACUGGGUGUAAAGGGCGUGUAGGUGGGCUUCUAAGUCGGUGGUGAAAUCCUGCAGCUUAACUGUAGAACUGCCAUUGAUACUGGAAGUCUUGAGUACGGCAGAGGGAGAUAGAAUUCAUGGUGUAGCGGUGAAAUGCGUAGAGAUCAGGAGGAAUACCGAUGGCGAAGGCAGGUCCCUGGGCUGACACUGACGCUCAUGCACGAAAGCGUGGGGAGCAAACAGG
This 253-nucleotide ribosomal RNA is filed under the name uncultured bacterium. RNAcentral's name for it is "partial 16S ribosomal RNA". It matches the Rfam family "Bacterial small subunit ribosomal RNA", at positions 524 to 776 of the family's 1533-position model. The record is from RNAcentral.